AACGUAGGUACCGAGCGUUAUCCGGAUUUACUGGGCGUAAAGCGUGUGCAGGUGGUCGUGCAAGUCGGGCAUGAAAGCUCCUGGCUCAACUAGGAGAAGCUGUCUGAUACUGCAGGACUUGAGGGCUCGAGAGGGCGAUGGAAUUCCGCAUGUAGUGGUGAAAUGCGUAGAGAUCAGGAGGAACACCGGUGGCGAAGGCGACCUCUUGGCCGGCUAUUGACGCUGAGGCGCGAAGGCGUGGGGAGCAAACAGG
RNAcentral lists this ribosomal RNA (253 nucleotides) under uncultured bacterium. Its description in RNAcentral is "partial 16S ribosomal RNA". It matches the Rfam family "Bacterial small subunit ribosomal RNA", at positions 524 to 776 of the family's 1533-position model. The record is from RNAcentral.